UGAAUUUUUAUUGUGGAAGAGAAUCCUGUUGCCUGUUACUAGCAAAAUCAUAUAAUUAGCUACAUGAGUGGAAUUAUAACGGAUGAUGGUGUCAGCCAACAGCACCUGCUCACUGUCAUGCUGCGUGCAGCCUCCUGUCUGUGCCCACGAGGUCUGAGGAGGCUGAAGAACUGGGACAAAACCCUUGCUCAACAGGAACUGCUGUUAGCUCUCAUGAGAAGACCUUCAGCUAGAAGAGGAUGAGACAGGGAAUAAGAAGGAGCAGCACAAAAAGGACAAAAAUCCAUCUGCUGUUCUAGAAAAGAUGAUAAAAGAAAAUCAAAUUCUAAGAAAAGAAGAUGCACCAUUGAAACAGAUGGUCCUGGCAGCAUUCAGUUUGGGGCAUUGUCAGAUAGAUGCCCAAGGAAGGCAAUGGGAAGUCUGUGCCUCCAGCGCGCUGAUGGAAGGAGCAGGUUUCAUUUGUCUGGUGUUCUGGCCCCUUGAAGUAGGGUCAUGA
This 496-nucleotide long non-coding RNA is filed under the name Struthio camelus australis. RNAcentral describes it as "lncRNA (ENSSCUG00000007370.1)". Lineage: Eukaryota; Metazoa; Chordata; Aves; Struthioniformes; Struthionidae. The record is from RNAcentral.